This 1213-nucleotide long non-coding RNA is filed under the name Setaria italica (foxtail millet). RNAcentral describes it as "long non-coding RNA (SITA_LNC000938)". Lineage: Eukaryota; Viridiplantae; Streptophyta; Magnoliopsida; Poales; Poaceae. The record is from RNAcentral.
CAAAAUCAAAUUGCGACAAUUAAGUGAAAGAAACAACCAGUAUAAUUGAUACUUCACUUCAGAUUCAUAUCUGUGGGCUGUGGCACACAGAUAAAAGCAAACGAAAUAACUUCAGGUACCAAUAAAUAUGUACAAUCUACACAAAUAAACACCAUUGGUAACUCUUGACAAUCAAGCCAACACAUCAGAUAAGAAGACAACUAUUUCACGACACAAAGUUUCCUUUUGGAUAUUGUGGCGGUGAAUUUCCAGAUUUUUCUUUUUCUUUGCUCUCUGUCCUGACAAACCUUCCAAUUUUUGGCGAUUUCUUAAGAAUUGGACCCUUGUUUAGUUUUGGAUGGUUGAGAAAUCUUAGCACAUGCCCAUGAACCUUGGUUCACCUCCUCAAGACCUCAACAUUAAUUUAGGCAGCCGAAAUAUAUAAAAGAACCGAGGCUAGCAGUGUCUUGACAGAGUUAUUACUCCAGGCAAAAUCCCCCCUUUUGCUCAAUUGGUUUGGCUAAGUGUGCAUGCCGCACACAGAUCCCAUAACACAAGCGACGCGCUCCCUCGUGUACCCAAAGGAUGUGCCUUCACCGGCACAUACUCCGGGCAAAAUCAGGCAGACCCUAAAGACAGAGAAUUAAUUUGGGGUAGGAAGAGGAGGAAGAGGGUGGAUGCGGAGCUCACAGGAAUGGAGGCACUCGGGGAUGACGGCCGCGUCGCGGAGGAAGCCACCGCAGAGCCCGCAGGUGACGCACGGCGCGAUCCUCGAGCGGCGCACCAUCACCUCCGCAUCCGCCGCGCCCUGCGCGACGGCGGCGCCGUGGGAGCACGGCCCGGCCACAGGCGAAGCUUGCCGGCCCCUUUUCCUCAUGAUGAUUUCUGCAUCGCAAACCAGAUAACCAGCUCAUGUCAGCACGGUGCCACUCAAUCAAGAACCGCGAUGAGGUGCAUUGCUCCAAAAUCAAAGAUCCAGCAGCAUAGAAUUUCAAUUUCCCAACCGUGGAAAAUCAGAGCCUGCUUCGGCCUGCGGGUAAGAGAACAUUCAGCGGUGCGGUAAGAGAGGGGUCGCCAUCGGUGCCUCGGCAGUGAGGUGCGGUCGGGGAAGAGGAAGCGUCACCCGGCCAGGAGACACGCAGCGGGGGAGGCGCUAGGGUUUCAGCAAAGGGCGGCGGCGGACCACAGCGGCAGGAGAGAUGGAGGGAUGGACGAUGAUUGGGGGCUGGGAGAG